RNAcentral lists this non-coding RNA (80 nucleotides) under Trichobilharzia regenti. RNAcentral describes it as "Eukaryotic large subunit ribosomal RNA". It matches the Rfam family "Eukaryotic large subunit ribosomal RNA", at positions 24 to 103 of the family's 3401-position model. The record is from Rfam by way of RNAcentral. Lineage: Eukaryota; Metazoa; Platyhelminthes; Trematoda; Strigeidida; Schistosomatidae.
CCCGCUAAAAUUAAGCAUAUCGCUAAGCGGAGGAAAAGAAACUAACAAGGAUUCCCCUAGUAACUGCGAGUGGACAGAGA